UCCCUGGAGGACUAGCGGUUAGGCCUCGGCGCUCUCACCGCUGUGGCCUGGGUUUGAUUCCUGAACAGGGAG
This 72-nucleotide transfer RNA is filed under the name Pangasianodon hypophthalmus (striped catfish). RNAcentral's name for it is "tRNA-Glu". The record is from RNAcentral. Lineage: Eukaryota; Metazoa; Chordata; Actinopteri; Siluriformes; Pangasiidae.